CUCAGUUAAUGGUAAGGGGAUUAUAGCGCAGAGAGCUUGGUGUCCAUAACUUUGGAUUUGCCCCAGAGCAAGCACUCUUGUACUAGCGCAGGCUGUGCCAGCUUUCAGAAGAUCCCAAUCUCAGAACAAUGUGUCACUCAGAACCGUUUUGAUGUGAAUCGGAUGUGGUGACACUGAUUACGACAAUGGCCCGUGAGAAAGGAGAUGAAAAGUCAAUGGAGAGAUUACCUGCUCACAUACACCAUGACACCUUCACUGGCAGGUUCACUACCUACCGUAUGUCACCACACAAUGACCGAGGAGGACAGGGAAGGGGGAAGGACAAUCACCCAAACUAAGCCUCCCAUUGAUCAGAUAUAUCUAUCUGGACUACUGAUGUGGAGUGAGGAUAUGGACUAUGACUGCACAAUACAAUUAUUAAUACCCUUACGACACCAAAUAAAAAUGGACACUGGAUUUCCCAGUGCUGUCCGCCUCCUUCCGGUCUGGAUCCUGCCUUCACACCUAGUUUGGGUGUCCACUCUGUUCCUCUUGGGGCACUGUAUCUCAGUGUGACAGUCCAUACCUCCCUCCUGAGGGAAGCAGCAGUGGCAUGGGAGGGUGUGCUGCCGUGCGGCCGCUGGGACUGUUAGUGUGCGUUUAAGCGCCAGCGGGGAUGCUCCAUGAACUGAAGGAGCAGGUGUCCACCAGGAUGAUGACCCUGUGGCACAGCCUGUCCCAGCUGGGCAAUAGCAUCCAGGAGGUCACAGGAGGAAUGCGGGUGGCAUUCACAGCCACCAUGAGUCCCAAAAGCCACUGCUUCGGCCCCUUCACCAGUAACGUGCCGAUUCCCUACACCGAGAUCUCCCUCAACCACGGAAACUGCUAAAACCCUGCCCUGGAGGCUGAACCACAAGCUGCGGCUGAUGAGGAACGGGGAGAUGGUGGUGUCCACGUGGGAGGAUAACGGGGAGGACUCGGAAGACAGACCGCCCUGGUCCUGCUGGACAGAGGCUGCCAGACGUACGUGGAGCUGCUCUCUGGAAGACAGCUGUGUGGAGGCGGAAACCCAUAGACAGACAUAUUGUACAUCCAAUGAGACAUACAACUGUACUGAACAGUUAAAAGCACAUGAAAAUUGUAGUCAACUCUGAUCAUUCUCCUUAAAAAAGCAAUCUAUGUAUUUUUUUUAAAUAAAAAAGGUUUUCUCACUGAAGCAGAAUCCGACUAUUAAUAUUGUUUAGAUUCACAGUCAUCACCAAAGCGAUUGCUGUGUUUUUAGGCUAAAAGGUUGUG
Oncorhynchus tshawytscha (Chinook salmon) is the source of this 1275-nucleotide long non-coding RNA. Lineage: Eukaryota; Metazoa; Chordata; Actinopteri; Salmoniformes; Salmonidae. The record is from Ensembl.